Molecule: ribosomal RNA, 238 nt
Filed under: uncultured bacterium
Lineage: Bacteria
Description: partial 16S ribosomal RNA
Rfam family: Bacterial small subunit ribosomal RNA
Source: RNAcentral
UGAAGAAUUUAUCCAACGGCGGGGGAUAGCCGGCCCAACGGCCGGGUAAUACCGCGUACGACCAUUUGGGGACAUCCCCGAGUGGUGAAGGCAGCAAUGCGCCGAUGGAGUGCCUCGCGGCCUAUCAGCUAGUUGGUGAGGUAACGGCUCACCAAGGCGACGACGGGUAGCUGGUCUGAGAGGAUGGCCAGCCACAUUGGGACUGAGACACGGCCCAGACCUCCUACGGGAGGNAGCG